This 24-nucleotide non-coding RNA is filed under the name Arabidopsis thaliana (thale cress). Lineage: Eukaryota; Viridiplantae; Streptophyta; Magnoliopsida; Brassicales; Brassicaceae. The record is from RNAcentral.
GUACAGAGCUGCCAAUGGUGAUCC